Gavialis gangeticus (Gharial) is the source of this 763-nucleotide long non-coding RNA. RefSeq lists it as uncharacterized. The record is from RefSeq and is a predicted model, not a curated record. Lineage: Eukaryota; Metazoa; Chordata; Crocodylia; Gavialidae. The transcript has 2 exons.
GAACAGCAGGCAGCAAGGGGACGUGGAUGGGGCCUGGAGGCUGGGGCGCAUGGCCAGGCUCAUAAGCACAGUCUGCAUCAUCCUGGGAACCAUCAUCAUCGUGCUCUACUUCUCGCUCAACUUUACAGUUUUCAAGAAGAACUAGCAUGCAGACGCCCUGACGAAGAAGGCACCUUUCCUUCAGGGGCUUCUAUUUGUAACCUCACGGCAAAAAUGCGACCGUUUCAAGGGCCGGAGCUAGGAAGUGUCGCUGUUGGAGCAUCGUCCGAGGGAGUGCAUGCAUUUAUUUCUCAGCCUCUUGGAAAAUGAUUUCACACUGAACAACUUGAGCGGCGCAUACAAGAGCUCGACAAGGCCUGGGAGAGGUCUCCGAUCCCAAGCAGAGUGGAGCAGAGGGAGAUCCGCUACCUCAUUCCUGCCCAGUAAAGAACACGGAGGGGUGGAGACCAGGAGGGAAGAAGGAGGUUGAUCUGGGGGAGAAAAGGGCCACCAAAGUGGAAAGGGGCGAAUGGGACCCUCUGAGGAAACCUCUUGACAACUUUGGCACAAAUGACUGUUUUGUUUUGCUUUUUUAAAACAACCAGUCGUCUCUCUGGGAAAGCUCCAGCUGCCACUGGGAGAUGAAGUCUGUUUGGCGAGCGGGGAAGGAGCACACUGCCUCCGGGGGCCACCGCGUGCGCCUCCCCACAGCCGUGGCACCGGGGCCGACCGCGGCUGCAAGGCACGGCUUUGGCGGGUUUUGUAUUUUUGAUGAAAAAAAAAA